RNAcentral lists this ribosomal RNA (207 nucleotides) under uncultured bacterium. RNAcentral's name for it is "partial 16S ribosomal RNA". It matches the Rfam family "Bacterial small subunit ribosomal RNA", at positions 568 to 774 of the family's 1533-position model. The record is from RNAcentral.
UCCGUAGGCGGUUUAAUAAGUCAGUGGUGAAAGCCCAUCGCUCAACGGUGGAACGGCCAUUGAUACUGUUAGACUUGAAUUAUUAGGAAGUAACUAGAAUAUGUAGUGUAGCAGUGAAAUGCUUAGAGAUUACAUGGAAUACCAAUUGCGAAGGCAGGUUACUACUAAUGGAUUGACGCUGAUGGACGAAAGCGUGGGUAGCGAACA